AGAUUUCCGUGGAGAGGAACAAUUCU
Molecule: non-coding RNA, 26 nt
Filed under: Macaca fascicularis (crab-eating macaque)
Lineage: Eukaryota; Metazoa; Chordata; Mammalia; Primates; Cercopithecidae
Also listed under: 3 other names
Source: RNAcentral